UGGGGAAUAUUGGGCAAUGGGCGCAAGCCUGACCCAGCCACGCCGCGUGAGCGAUGAAGGCCUUCGGGUUGUAAAGCUCUGUGGGGAGGGGCGAAAGGCAGAAGUGCUAAUAGUACUCUGUUUGACGGUACCUCCUUAGCAAGCACCGGCUAACUCUGUGCCAGCAGCCGCGGUAAGACAGAGGGUGCAAACGUUGCUCGGAAUUACUGGGCGUAAAGCGCGUGUAGGCGGGAAGAUAAGUCGGGUGUGAAAUCCCUGGGCUCAACCUAGGAACUGCAUCCGAAACUGCCUUUCUGGAGUGAUGGAGAGGAGAGCGGAAUUCCCGGUGUAGAGGUGAAAUUCGUAGAUAUCGGGAGGAACACCAGUGGCGAAGGCGGCUCUCUGGCCAUCAACUGACGCUGAGACGCGAAAGCGUGGGGAGCAAACAG
Molecule: ribosomal RNA, 428 nt
Filed under: uncultured bacterium
Lineage: Bacteria
Description: bacterial SSU rRNA
Rfam family: Bacterial small subunit ribosomal RNA
Source: RNAcentral